This 308-nucleotide ribosomal RNA is filed under the name uncultured bacterium. RNAcentral describes it as "bacterial SSU rRNA". It matches the Rfam family "Bacterial small subunit ribosomal RNA", at positions 32 to 346 of the family's 1533-position model. The record is from RNAcentral.
AAUCAACGCUGGCGGCGCGCUUAACACAUGCAAGUCGCACGAGAAAGGGGAGCAAUCCCUGAGUACAGUGGCGUACGGGUGAGUAACACGUGGGUAAUCUACCUCUUAGUGGGGAGUAUCUCUGGGAACCGGAGUUAAUACCGCAUAAGUUCGGAAGAAGAAAGACGAGCAAUCGCGCUGAGAGAGGAGCCCGCCGGCCGAUUAGCUAGUUGGUGGGGUAAAGGACUCACCAAGGCAGAGAUCGGUAGCCGGCCUGAGAGGGCACACGGCCACACUGGCACUGAAACACGGGCCAGACUCCUACGGGA